Molecule: non-coding RNA, 512 nt
Organism: Labeo rohita (rohu)
Lineage: Eukaryota; Metazoa; Chordata; Actinopteri; Cypriniformes; Cyprinidae
Source: the annotation of a RefSeq genome assembly
GAGAACAUUAAUACACUGAUCUCACCUAGUAAACAUGGUAAAAUGCCUGUUUCUGAUUUUAAUUCUGACUCCAGGUGUGAUGACUGCAGACCAGAUUACGCCGAAUAAAGAAACUAGUGUCAUGAAGGAAGAUGAGACUGUGACCCUCAGCUGCACAUAUGAUACAAGCAGCAGAAGAGUUAGACUUUACUGGUACAGACAGUAUCCUAAUGGAGAACCUCAGUAUUUAAUGUGGAAAGAGGCUCGGGCAUGGAGUAGCACUGGGACCCCAGCUGAACCUCGCUUUCAGGCGACUACAUCAGAAACAUCCACUGAACUCAGUAUUACUGGUGUAACUCUGUCAGAUUCAGCUCUCUAUUAUUGUGCUCUAAGAGUUGGAGCCCAGUGAUACAAAGUCUAUGUGAAGCCGUACAAAAACUCAAAUUCAUUUUUCACUUUGAUCUCAAGCCACAUCAAACCCACAAUCUAUAAUUCACACAAUAUAAUUAAACUUGUGGAAACACCUGUGGGUG